GUGCUGACUUGGCAGCACAUAUGCUAAAAUUAGAACAAUAAAAUUUUAGCAUGACUCCUGAACAUGGAUGGCAUGCAAAUUUGUGAAACAUUUCAUAUUUUU
Sorex araneus (European shrew) is the source of this 102-nucleotide small nuclear RNA. The record is from Ensembl. Lineage: Eukaryota; Metazoa; Chordata; Mammalia; Eulipotyphla; Soricidae.